This is a long non-coding RNA of Haliotis rubra (blacklip abalone), 227 nucleotides long. RefSeq lists it as uncharacterized. Lineage: Eukaryota; Metazoa; Mollusca; Gastropoda; Lepetellida; Haliotidae. The record is from RefSeq and is a predicted model, not a curated record. The transcript has 3 exons.
CAAUUAUCACUUUUUCUAUUUCAUGUUCAACUGCUAUAUUUCUGCACCAGUAGUCGCUUUCCAAUUUUCAACAUGGGCAAAGCAACCAGUCCACUCGUUUACACCAAUCAUCUGACAAAGGUGCACCCCUUCACAACAAUAGACCCAACCAGCUGUGGUACGGUCACGUAAUUCAUUAUUAUUCACUUGAUCAGUGUCAACAUCGUCUAUAAACGUAAACAAGGUAU